AGAACGUGCUGUUUGAAGAAAGCUUCCAAGACGCUGCCCGAUGGCUUGCCACGGAGCUGGAAAUACCCACACUGUCUGCUCCCGUGCUUGCAAAAGUUAUUUUACCAGCAAAGAAAGAUAAUGGUCUCAUCGUGUCCCUGGUGCUGCAAAGAGAGAAACUCCAUCUGUAAGAGGGAAAGUUGGACUGAAGAUUAGCUGAAAGCCUUGAACUAGCAGACUUCACUAGUCUGCUUGAUUUAUUAAGGCGGAAUUUAUGAUAAUCUACAGUAAGAAAAAUCAAGUAAAAGGUCGCUUAGCUGGAGUAAAGUUUGGAUUUAGUAAUGUCAUGAAGAGACAGGGAAUUUUGCUGCAGCUUCUUGCACCUACCUCCUUCUCCAGCCACUACAUUCUGCUCCUCCCUCUUCCUACUCAGGCCCCCACCCAGCAAAGCAAAAACACACAUCUGUAUCAAGACUAAAUAAAAUUAAACAGACAUAAAAGCACUGCAAUUAAUGGCUAUUUUCCUACUGAGUGAAAAAUUGGAGUCAGGUUACAGGUCGCGCUUCCCAAAUACCUGUGGAUGAAACAAAGGAAAAAGUGGAUACAUGUGCGAGGAGAAGCUGACGGAAGUUACACCCAUCCUCUGACAGCUGAAAUAGAACUUCUCAGCAGAAUGGCUAAGAUCCAGUGUGUGUGUGUUUUCUUUCCUGGACUCCUCCUUCAGAGACCUCCUCAAGCUUCAAGAAAACCUUUGUCAAUGAACUACAGUGAGAACCUUUCCCCUUUUGAGGACGGGGGAGGAAAGUUGAUAAUGAAGACUGAACUAUGAAAACUCCCCUCAGUCCAUCUGUCUGUUAAAAAAGGAGUGAUGUCUCACUCAUGCAUCAUGAAGAUAGACAAUCACACCUUGGAAUUGUGCAAUUCACCCAGUACCUUGUCCCAACAAUAGACGGGCAAAGCUAUUCUGAAGAUAAUGAAGGAAGAGACAAUAGACUGUCAAGGAAGAGCUGCACUGGCAAUGAUGAAAGCAAGGAAGGUGGUGGAACUACCAAGAAUGAGACAAGAACUAGGAUACUUUGGAACGAAAGGAAUCAGUAGAUUUAUUCAUUGGAGGUAUGUGGAACCUUGCAGGAUUGGGACAUUAGCUAUGACUUGACUUCCUUCAAAGGAAUAAGGGGCCCACCAUAGUUCACAGUUGCCUGUUAUUAGGGUAUUUCCUUAUUCUGAAAGGAAAUAAUGAACAGUGUAAAAUCUUUACUACUUCUCCUAUUGAAAUCAACGGGGUUUUGCUCUGGAUUUCAGUGGGACCCGGCUCAGGCCUUUCACUUGUAAUUAAUUCUCUGUCUUUAUUGAUAUUUAUUGCUAAUAUUGUAACACUCUAACAUGUCAUAUGUCGAAUUGUGUUCUAUUUAGGGUGACCAGAUGUCCCAAUAUUAUUAGGACCAUCCUGAUAUUAGGGGUUUGUCUUGUAUACAAAACUAUAGUCCCCCUCCCCUCCCGAAAAAAAAGUGUCCCAAUUUUUCACAACUGCUGUAUUGUAUUGAUUAUUUUAAGACCCUGAACUAAAUUCAUCCCCGAUUAAUGCCAAAUAAUAUGUCAUCUAAAUAGUUCUAACACUACUUCCUAUGUGAACAAGUGGUUGGAUUGAAAACAUUACAACAAAUUGGGAUAUAAUACAAUUUUCAUGUAUCUCCUUAAUACUGUUAAUAUCACAGACUUAAAUGAAGCAGGGUUUCAUGCCUACCAUCUAGAUGACAUUCAUUAAUUCCAGGGUCCUUGUCAUUCCGCAUCAGGUUCAGCACUGAAACCCCAGAGCUCAGGAAAAGCAAGGUGACUUGUUAGAAAAAUCGCUUGGGGCAUGAGGGUGAUUAUCAAUCUUUGAAGGGCAGCCUAGUUCCUUAGAGAAUCUAGAAGAGUAUCAUACUUAGGGCCUUACCAAACUUCUCGAGGAAUUAGUCACAAAUGUGCCUAUGCAGGCUUUGUAGCCAAUGUAAACAUCUUUCUGAUCAGAGUUUUCAAAUCAAGAUAUCUUAGUGCAGUUCUUGAUAGAGAGUGACAGCUUCAUGUUAUCUGAUUAUUCCACUGAAGAUAUUAUUUGACAAGCACACAGGGUAGAAUCUGCUACCAAGGCAGGUCUUGGAAGCAAUCCUGUUAGUAAGUUUUAUGAGGCAUCUUCAGGCUGCUUAACCUUUUGUAGGAUAUUUAGGCUGUGGGUGGGGAAAAGAGGUAUUCACAAUGUAAACAUUUAGCAUCCAAUGCACUUAUAUGGGACUUUACCUUGGGGAAGCAAGGGAAGGUAUGGAUGCAACUGGCAGGGCCAUGACCCAUAUUAUUUUCCAUAGUGAUGUUGUAGAAUCUAUUAACAUUAAGGCUCUAGGUCAAGGGCAGUAUUUUCAAAAAUUAAUGAGAGCAGCUGGGUGCUCAGCACUUUUUGAAAAAUAGGCUCUUUAGAUGCCUACAUAUGGAUUUAGGAGCCUAGCAUUAGAUUUGAAAAUUUUUGUCAGAAAGCCUGAAAAAUUAAUAUCAGGCAUAUGACAUUGCUUCUUUUUACUCUAAGACGCUUUGCUGUGAUUAAUAAUACAGAAUUAGAGAAAGGUGGAAUCAUAUAGGUCUAUACUCUUCACUGUCAUUGUGUGUGUGGGGCGGGGGGGGGAGCUGGGGAGAGGAAGCUGCAAUCAGUGAGAUUACAAAGUGUGUAAAUUAGAGGAGAACUGGCCCACAAAUCAGAUCUUGCAAACAGUGGUAAUGCUCUCCUGAGUUGUCCCAAAAUUCAUCUCCAGAUUGCAAUUUUUGCUGUUUUGUAUUUGGAGAUAAAUGGAGAGUCCUUGAAAGAGAAAUUUUACCUCCAUAUAAUUUUGAGAAAUAUAAACUUCAAUAAAUUAGACUAUUUCUAAAGAUGAAAGCUAGUUGACAUGUUUUCCUGUCCAGUCAUUUAAACAUUUCCAAGCUAGCUACCACAUUUCUGUGACUUUUUUCCAAGAUCAAGCUUCAGUUCAACUUUCUUCUUGCCUUCUUCAGUAAAAGCCUCUGCUGCCUUAUUGCCUGUAAAAUCCACGGUAUGGGAGUUCUUUUAGCUGCUAUAAUUUUGAUUAUCUACCAACAAGACUCUUCUAGAGUAUGUUAGUAUCAGAGAAAUAUUUCUCUCCUGCCAAUGAAAAUUUGAAGAGCUAAGUCUAAUUUUUCAAAUUAGUGUAGUGUUCAAUGAUCCAAUGCAGUUCAAAGCAAACUAUAGAUGAAUUCCAGAAGUGAGACAUUGUUUUCAGAGCAUUAUAGUUUCUUAAUGUAUAUAUAACCUUACAUCCAUCUUUGAAUUCUAAGAAAAGUGUUUUUUGUUUUGUUUUUUUGGUGGUGGUGAUCUUCCUUGCCAUUAAACACAUAGUUGCAUGUACAAUACUUGGUGUAAAAUCAUGGAAACAUACUGCUUAAUAAAUACUGUGUGUAGUGAUGAUUUUCGUUUAUCUCUUUCAAACAACAGUGAAGAGAGAAAACUGCAAUGUGCUAAAGAGUUUUCCAUUUCAUAGGCUUGCUUGCUAUAAUACUUAAGGAGAUUACUCCUAUAACCAGAGUGCUACAUCAGUUGUUCACAUAUAAUCAUGCCUAGGAGAUUUGUCUGACUGAAUUUCUUCAUCAAAUUGUGUGUGUGUCUGCCUUUAUGCUGACAUUCCACAAGAGCUAAUCUGUAUCAAGUUAAGACAGGGUCCCGCAGGGUCAAAAAGAAUCUCCAGUGUUUUAGGUUGUUUUUGAAAACUACAUGAAAGAUACAUUAAGGACAACAUUCUACAAUAGACUUGCAAGGACCUAAGCAAAUGUUAUGUCCUUAAGGUGACUUUUUUUGGGGUGGGAGGAAUGGGUAGAGAGAGGAAGUUCUUCCAGAAGAGUAUUGAAACUGACACUUUAGACAAAACUGAGUUUAAAAUAGAGGAACACAAGCUGCAUAAGCAAUGAAUUAUCCCUUUAACAUAUUUGAAUAGCUUACUAGAGAAGAUCUUAUGCAUCCGAUGAAGUGGGCUGUAGCCCACGAAAGCUUAUGCUCUAAUAAAUGUGUUAGUCUCUAAGGUGCCACAAGUCCCCCUUUUCUUUUUGCGGAUACAGACUAACACGGCUGUUAUGACCGUUCACAGAAAAAAAUAGAGUAAUUGGAGUGAGUAACCACUUGGUGUCAUCCAGGAGCUGCAAAAUUAAGCUAAAAGGCAUUUAUAAAACCUGGUCUCUUAAAGAAAGUGAUUUAGACAUAACAAGUCCAGAGAGUUUGACACAUUUUUCUUCUUCAGGGUUUUUUCUUCAGUUCUCUACAAAACUUUGCUAAGUUUUUUUUUUCCUAGGGUCAUGUAUCAUCUGUUUAAAGAAAUUUUCUGACAGAAUACUUAAGUUGAUCUCUCUUCCUCCUUGACUGAAACAGAGAGCUGCAAAUUUGACAAGAAAUUGAACCAUAUUCAUCCUUGGUGUGACUGCAUUCAUUUCAAUGGAGUUAUAUAGAGAUUAAUUUGACUCAAAGUCUUUCUCAAAACUGUACAUGAAAACACGUGGGAAGUUUUUUAAAAUGUUUGACCAUUGGUUUUACUUGUAAGAUCAUUUAUCUGAGUUAUGCUGACUUUGCAGUUUGUUUUUUUCUUUCAAUAUCAAAACUUUACACAGACCCUUAAAUGGGAAUUUAACUCUAUUUUUCUGCAGUUCUUAAGAAAGCAGAAAAAAAUUCCCUCUGGACCAGAGAUUUGUGUCAGCAAAAGUUUCAGUUUUGCUGACAGAUACUGACUAGCAGAAAAUAUGCCCUCACCUCUACUGCUGAGCAUGGUUCACUCAUUGUGAAUCAGUCUGAAAAGGGAUUGAGAUCUUCUCUAAUCCUGAAAGAAAAAAGGGAACUUUUUAGGCUAAUCCUGAUUCUGGAACACUGAACAACUAUGAAUACCGGAGCAAAAAUGACUUUAACCCAACUCUAGAGCAGGAUAAUUUUGUUGUCCAUUAUCACUGGUUGUUAAUGAAAUAAAGGUCAUCAAAGCAUACCUGUGGGCAUUUCCUGAGGCCUUUAUAAAAGGAUGACUUCCAUGUUGCUACCUACCGUGUCCUUUUAGAAAGGAGACACACCUUUUUUUUGUACCAGUAUGUCCCAGGUGGGGCUGUUCCUGUGGAGCCAAGUGUGGUGCUGCAGGCACUCCCUGCCUUAGUCCCCAAGUCAUGGCUGCCUCCUUGCAGCAGGGUGGCUAACAAAACUCAGAAUUUGUGUGUUUAAAGGCACAUACAUCCUGACAAACCUCAAAAGCACGUGCACAGUUGCAGCACUUCAGGCAAGGCCCUGACCUGGCCCUGGGGUUCUGGGCUGGCAUUGAGCUGCUCCUCCUCUAACCCAGCCUCACUCUGCACUGCCCCUCCAAAGACACAGGCAUGCCUGGUAGCUCCUGACUGGUUAGUGUUUCCUCCAGCCUCCGAAAGACUGUCUCUUUGGUAGCGGUAGGAGUGGCUUUUCCUUGAGUAGCAGGGAGGUGUCAGGGUGCCCCAGUAGGGGACAGAGAAGGCUGAUUGCACUAUGUGAUAGAGUCUGAGGUUUUCAAAUUGUGGGGCACCCCUGCCCUCCCUCAAGGAAUAGUUGAGUGGGCGAGUGAGAAUGCCAAGCAGCUCAGGCCAGCCCCAUGAAGUGGGCUUCAGGGAGGGACCAUCCCCUCCACCCCUGACUCACCUCAGCAAGGGUGAGUGUCCGAUUUCUGCUCCUGGCAGCCUCCAUGCCCACUGCUGGCUCCACCUCCAUCGUACACACCUUUCCCCACCUUGAAAACCCAAGAGGGGAGGGGCAGGUAUUGGCUCUGCCCUAAGGGUGCAGCCUGCCAGCAAGGCUGAAGCAGCCAGUUGCUGAGGUAAUUUAAUU
This is a long non-coding RNA of Chelonia mydas (Green sea turtle), 5836 nucleotides long. RefSeq lists it as uncharacterized. NCBI's taxonomy places the organism in Eukaryota, Metazoa, Chordata, Testudines, Cheloniidae. The record is from RefSeq and is a predicted model, not a curated record. The transcript is spliced from 7 exons.